Molecule: ribosomal RNA, 271 nt
Filed under: uncultured bacterium
Lineage: Bacteria
Description: partial 16S ribosomal RNA
Rfam family: Bacterial small subunit ribosomal RNA
Source: RNAcentral
UACGAGUGCCUCAAGCGUUAUCCGGAAUCAUUGGGCGUAAAGGUUGUGUAGGUGGUUAUAUUAGUCUUUUGUUAAAUUCUUCGGCUUAACCGGGGACAUGCAAAGGAAACGGUAUGACUAGAGGAUGCGAGGGGUCUGCGGAACUCAUAGUGUAGCGGUGAAAUGCGUUGAUAUUAUGGGGAACACCAAAAGCGAAGGCAGCAGACUGGAGCACUCCUGACACUGAAACAAGAAAGCGUGGGUCGCGAAUGGGAUUAGAUACCCUUGUAGU